RNAcentral lists this transfer RNA (83 nucleotides) under bacterium. RNAcentral describes it as "tRNA-Leu". It matches the Rfam family "tRNA". Rfam says of the family: Transfer RNA (tRNA) molecules are approximately 80 nucleotides in length. Their secondary structure includes four short double-helical elements and three loops (D, anti-codon, and T loops). The record is from RNAcentral.
GCCGGAGUGGCGGAAUGGUAGACGCGCUUGCCUCAAAAGCAAGUGUCCUUUUGGGCGUGUGGGUUCGAGUCCCACCUCCGGCA